This is a long non-coding RNA of Equus caballus (horse), 9082 nucleotides long. Lineage: Eukaryota; Metazoa; Chordata; Mammalia; Perissodactyla; Equidae. The record is from Ensembl.
CGCGUGCGCUCAUUUGUGAGAGAGUGUGGGAGUGUGUGUGUGUGUGAGUGAGAGGGCGUGGAUGGUGAGAGGGGCUGCGAGUGUGUGAGACUGUGCGUGUGAGACUGUAUGUGAGAGACUGAGCGAGAGUGUGAGAGACUGUGUGUGAGAGACCGUGAGUGUGAGGCCGUGUGUGAGAGACCGUGUGUGAGAGACCGUGUGUGAGAGACCGUGUGUGUGAGAGGCUGUGUGUGAGAGACCGUGUGUGUGAGAGGCCGUGAGUGUGGGAGGCUGUGUGUGGGAGAGAGUGGGCUGGCGAGGGAGAGGAGAGCGUGUGUGUGGGGCGUGAGAAGCGCGCGCACACUGUCGCGCUCUCGUGGGUCCGCGGCCGCCUGGCCCCGGGGCUGUGGGGCGCGCGCCUGUCCCGAGCCGCCGGCCGGCCUGUGCGCGUCACCGCCCCUGUCCCGGGCCCCUCGGAGGCUCCGCGCGUGCUGCCUGGCGGGGUUGGUUGGUGCAGCCUUGGGAGCGUCCGGUGGGGUGUCUGCCUUUGUGUGUGUUUCAAUAACUGGUUUAGCCCUGAGCUAAUAUCUGCCACCAAUCCUCCUCUUUCUGCGGCAGAAGAUUGGCCCUGAGGUAACAUCUGUGCCCAUCUUUCUCUAUUUUACAUGUGGGACGCCUGCCACAGCAUGGCUUGAUAAGUGAGUAAGUCUGCGCCCAGGAUCCAAACUGGCAAACCCCGGGCUGCUGAAGUGGAGUGCGUGAACUUAACUGCUGCACUACCGGGCUGGCCCCCUUACUAGUGUCUUUUUGAUAUUGCCAUCCUAGUAGGUGUGAGUAGGUGUGAUCUGCUAGUAGGUGUGAUCUACCGAUCAUUGUGGUUUUGAUAUGCAUUUCUUUAAUGACUAGUGAUAAUGAGCCUUUUUUCAUGUGCUUUUUGGCCAUUUGUAUAUCUUCUUUAGAGAAACCUCUGUUCAAUCCUUCCCCUAGUUUUAAUUUUGGGUUAUUUGCUUUUUGUUGUUGUUGAUUUGUAAAAGUUCUUUAUGUAUUCUGGAUACAAGUUGCUUAUCAGAUAUAUGAUUGACAAAUAUUUUCUCCCAUUUUGUGGGCUGUCUUUUACUUUCUUGAUGUCCUUUGAAGUACAAAGGUUUUGAAUUUUGAUGAAAUCCAACUUAUCUAUUUUUUAUUUUGUCACUUGUGCUUUUGUUGUCAGAUCUAAGAAAACAUUGCCUAAUCCAAAGUCAUGAAGAUUUACUCCUAUCUUUUUUCCUAAGGGUUUUAUAGUUUUAGUUCUUACAUUUAAAUCUAUGAUCCAUUUAGAAUGAAUUUUUGCAUAUAAUAUGAGGUAGGAGUCCAAAUUCAUUCUGUUGUAUGUGGAUAUUCAGUUGUCCCAGUAUCAUUUAUUGAAGAAAUGUUCUUUCCCCAUUGAAUGAUCUUGGCACCUAUGUCAAAAAUCAAUUAACCUAAGUUUAAUGGUUUAUUUCUGGCUUUCAAUUCUUUGCCAUUGGUCUGUAUCUCUAUCCUUAUGCUACUACCAUGUUGUCUUGAUUACUAUAGCUUUGAAGUAAAUUUUGAAAUCAGGAAGUGAAUCUUCCAGCUUAGUUCUUUUUCAAGAGUUCUUUGACUAUUCUGGAUCCUUCACAUUUCCAUAUGAAUUUUAGGAUCAUUUUGUCAAUUUCUGCAAAAAAAAAAAGAAGAAAAAAGAUAGCUGGUGUCAACGAAAAUAAUCCAUAACCAAUCUAUAAAUGAAAAUUUGAGUGAGUUUAUUCUGAGCUUAAAUUUGAGGAUUAUAACCCGGGAGAGUCUUUCCACAAAGGAACAGAGCACUCCAAAGAAGUGGGGGUAUACAGGGUGGUUAUAUACCCUCAAAGAGUAUGUUUCACAUAUGAUUGAAAUGUCCCUUUUACAAUAGUCACAAGGCUGCUCUGUCACCACAGCGCUUGAUGGAAGCAGCAGAUAGGCUUGCUGUCUCAGUGAACCCUGCAGGCUGGCAGGUCUGUUGCCUCGAGCUAGGUGGUCACAGAUGAGUGCUGCAAUCAGUUCCCAGCCUAAAGAAAGAUGCUUAAUCUUUAAGGAGAUGCCAACGUUGGGAGGGGGAGGGAAGUUGCACCUUUAUCUCAAAAUGUCUAAGCAGAUAUACAAUGCAUGCUCAAUGGCCACAGUCAGGCCCUUUUGGAAAAAACAAAGUCAGGCCGAAUUAGGUUUAUACCAAAUGGCUUCCUCAUAUACUCCAAUAUAUCCUAUUGCUUGCCAUUUUUAUUUGUCACUGGGAAUUCUCAAUAUUUGCUAAGGCAUAGUUUGUUAUAAAAACUAGGCACCACAGAGACUACAGAGAUGAAACCCAGUCCUCAAUCUUAAGAGACCCAAUAAUCUUGGAAUUAUACAGAUGUAUCGAUUAUCAACUUAUUACCUCUCAGCUCCAAAUUUGUUCUUUAAUAUAUGCUCUUCAAUAAUGGACAGAAUUCUUUUAAGUACCUCCCCUUUACAGUGAGCAUGAUGCCAAGUUUUCUCAGUAGAGGCUGUUAGAAGGGUCCCUCCUGGUAUUUCCAGCUGGUGGAGCAGGUGAGGACAUCUGGUGGAGCUGUGCUUCAGCCACAUGCCGGGAAGAUGACCUUGCAGCCUCAGCGUGGACUGGCAAUAAGCUUGCCACAGCACCCUCCUCCUUGACAUAAAAACUCAUUUCUCUAAAGCCUCCUGCCCACGUCAGUGUCCUAAUUCCCUCUGCAGACCCGCAUAUGGAUUAUCAGGAGCCUGGAGUGUUUUCACUGAGCCAUUACUUCCUCUUCUGGCCUCUGUGGCCUGCCUGCUCCCAGGGCCCCAAUCUCCCGUGCACACCCAUAUCUCUGGUUGCUGAUCAGCUAUCCUUGGCCUGCACUCUAGAGGGAUGCCUCUUGCUCUCCCAGUGGCCCCAGUCAGACCCGUGAACGUUUUUUGUUAUCUAGUAGGCUGAACUAUACCUUCUCCAAUGAGAUCUAAACUCCAGCCUUGGGGAAGGGAAACCCUUCCAACUUUGUUCUUCCUUGGCUACUCUCCCUCAGCCCUAGGUACCAUGCAGUUUCCUUAUUCUUGUUUCUACACACUUGUUUAUAAGAAUUUAAUAAUUCUUUAUAUUACACAUCCUCUGUCAAACCCACUGUGUGAUUGGGCCUACACAAGUACGACAAAUAACAUUUGCAAGUCAGAAUAUGGUAAGCAGUGUCUUCAGAGAUCUGAAUGUGAGAGAAGGAUGUGGAGCUCACAGUCUGUUGAUGGCAUCAGGAAAGAUUUAAUGAGGGAGUGCAAUUUGAGAGGAACUUUGAAGGAUGGUUAAGGAUUUCCUUUGAAUUUGCCAUUGGGGAGCUCGUAUUUUUUAAGAUGAUUACCUCAGAUUUCCAUUUCAAGAGUAAAGACAUUUACAAACUGAAUUGCAUUAUUUUUCCCAAACAGCUGUCCUUUACUCCUAUUGACAAGUUCACCCUGGGUUUUCCUACAGGUCUGGAUGGAGUUGGUAAAGGUGUUAGAGACAAAUGGAAGAGAUACCUGGGCUAGAGUGGGUUCCUGACCCCCAAAUAGGAGGUUUUUAAGUGGCAUCGUCUCGUUGGAAUUACUCAACCAAGUGUUUAAAAGAAAGGCUUUGAUGGAAGGUUUAGUAUGGUUAGAAAGGAACACCCACAGCCAUAUGUACCAAUUAAUUUCCUCUCCAAAUGUUUUUAAACUGUUGGGUAGAUAUGGCCUAUGUUUUGGAAGGAUUCUUUCCUUUGAAGUAGUCAUUACAGUGUUUUAUUUCCUAUAUGAAUGCCAAGUACACAUUACUUUUCAUUUCCCUUUUUGCUUGCCAAAGCCUUGUAAUUUUGUUUCAUCUCUUCGCAAAUAUCUAAUAAAUAAUUAUGAUUUGUAGAGCUAUUCAAAGCAUGGUCCUUGGACCAGCAGACCCAUCGUCAUUUGGGAGCUUAUUAUAAAAGCAAAUUCUUGGGCCCCACUUCAGACUCGCUGAAUCCGAAUCUCAAGGGGGCGGGGACCUGAAUCUGUGUUUUAACUAGCUCGCCAGGAGAUUUUUAUGCACAUUGAAGUUUGAGAAGCACCAAUUAAAAUUUUACUUACUGUAUUUCACUUGAGACACACUCUAGAGUUUAAAAGGAUCUAGAUUCCUGAAAACAAUUGAUCAGUUCCAAUCAGGAGUCUGUGUCUCCAACAUCCCUGAGAGAUUGGCAUCUAACUUCUGCCUGCGAUUUUCUAUUGAUGAGAGACCACCUCACAAGGUGACAACAUUUGGGAACAAUCCUAUGAUUAGAAUUUUCUCUUAUUAUGCAGUUAACUCAAGUUGACUUAAUUGUACCUUUUACCUUUUGCUCAUUGUUCCUAAUGCUGCUCAUGAGGAGCAUGAAAUCAACCUGAUUUCCUUUACAUAGCCCAGAUGUUUAGAUAUUUGAGGCAGUGGUCUGCUCUCUCCUAAGAAUUUUCUUGCCAAGAAAGGACAUUCUUAGUCCCUUUAAUUUCCUCACCUGAUGAUGUCUUUUGACUCCUUCCCUCUUAGAAUGACUUAUAUAUCAAUAUUCUGCUUAAAAUGCCACCUCUAGAAUCAAAUAUAAAACGUUCCAUGGAGUUUGUCCAAUGAAGGCUAUUACAGGACUGUUCUAUCUACUGUAGAUAGUAAACCAAAUCUCUCCUAGGCUUUAGAAAGUUGAAUUCCAAGCCUGAUUUUGUCACAAUGGAUUUGGACAGAUCACUCAAUUUCUGUGGAUUUAGUUUUAUUUAACUAUAAAAAUUGAGAUUACCUUAUGGCACCUGAACCUGGGGAAAUACUAAUGUUUAGGGAGUAGCCAUGGCCAGUAGAGCUAUUCAAAAGAAUUGAAAUGGAGUUGUUAAAAAGGCAGAAAGGGAGCCAGUAGAAAGUGCUGACACAGGUAUUUGAUUCCCUCUCUUAACAGGCAUGUCCUAUGGGCUCAGCUUGGACAAGUCGUAGAGCCUGGACUGGGCUCCAAGGCAGGAUGUUUCUUACCCAAGGGACCAGAGUUCUCCACAGGGAGUCAGUGGGUAAUGAGCAGAAGCAGUGUUCUGAUGGAGAGCAAGGUUAGAGUGAGGAUGCAGGCCAAAGCUGGUCAUGUAGCCCUGCGUGGAAAGAGGUUGUAGGUGAAAAAGGAGAGAUGACUCGCAUCAACAGCAAUAUGCUGUGCUAUUCUUGUCUUUCCAUGCUUGUUUCCAAGAUAUGCUGGAUGCCUUUAAAGAGCAGAAGAGGAGUGAAGGGGUGAAGCCCAGGAGGACAAAAUUCCAAAAAGUGAUUGUCAGCGUCAAAUGAUACAGAAAAGUUAAAAAAACAAAACAACCCAGGGCAGAAAGAUAUUUAACUAGAUAGGAAGAUUUUGUUGCAAGUAACAGAAAAUUGAAUUUAAACUGGCUAAAAACAAGGUUUAUUUGUUCACACACCAUCUACAAGAAUGGCUUCAGCGGGGCUCUGGAUCUUUCUCUGAGAUUCUCCAGGCUUUGCUGUCCUCCUUGUGUUAGGUUUAUCCUCAGGCUGAAUUUUCUCAUGACUUCUGGAGGCCACUGGGUCACUUCCUGGGAAAGAGAGCAUCUAGUUUUCAUAACCACUAACUGAAUGUCCUGACCUUUGCCUUGACCGGAUCACUUCUAGCCCAGCAAUGUAGCUAAGGGGAAUGCCUUGCACUGUAGAAAGAGAGGUGGGAUAAUUGAUUUUGUUAAUCUCUCCCAAAUCCUGUGACUGAACAGUGGGAGAAGAGUGGUUCACCAUUUGAGAAAACUACAGCUCCAGGCUUCCAUUGUCCUCAUGCCUAGUGACCCCAGCAAAAAGAAUAUCUGUCUUUCUUGCUCCUUCUAGCGAAGGUUCCAGGGAGGCCUCUGGAUGGGCUCAUCUGCCUUUCCUGAACCAAUCUCAGGGGACGGGGAGGUGAAGGACACUAAUUUGACAGCCAGAGUUGUGUGUUUGCAGCUGUAUGGAGAUGAAAAGGGUCAGCACCACCCAAACCACAUAGAAUGAAUUCCCCAGAGCUGAUAUCUCAUUGUGGUUUUAUGUUGUGUUUCCUUAAUGACAAUGAUGUUGCACAUCUCUUCAGGAGCCGAUUAGCCAUUCAUAUGUCUUCUUUGGGAAAUGUCUAUUCAUAUCUUCUGCCCACUUUUUAAUUGGGUAGUUUGUCUUACGAUUAUUGAGUUAUAAGCAUUCUUUAUAUAGUCUGAAUGCAAAUACUUUACCAGAUGUAUUAUUUGCAAAUAUGUUCUCAUAUCUGUAUCUUGUCUUUUUAUUUUCUUAGGACUUUCAGGUUGUGAAAUGGAAAAAAAAAAUGUAAUGGACCCAAUAUUAGGUGAAGAAGAUACUGAAUCUUCUAAUAAUUUUAUUCUUUUAAAUCCUCAAACACAAACUUUAGAGCUUCUGGGUAAUAAUGCAGACUGAAUUUGCAAACCAGAAUUAAAGUUUACUCCCUAGAGGAUGAACUAUAACACAAGAACCUUUUGUAAGAAUAUAUUUUGAUAUAAGACUAGUGGUUUACAGCUAACCAGCUUGCAGGGGCCACAGGUUAGAGAUGCUGAUUUGUAGCAUUUCCAAUUUCCACAGUGUAAAUUCUUGCCCUCAGACUAUGUCAAGAUACUAAUGCUUUAACCACCAGCUCACAAAAUUUCUAAAUAUUUAGCUAUUGACUCUAGAGAGCCAGAAUGAGCUAGCUCAAGUACACUACUGAAAAUCCAUGAUUGGAUGAUUGGACUGGUAAUAAGGAGUCUUGAAAAGAAGCUCCUUUUUUUUUUUUUUUAAAAAAAAAGGCAACUGCUUUGGAGGAAUUUGCAGAUUACCAAGAAAGAAGUCACUGAUCCUUCACUUAAGAAUGAAAGGAAGAAGUCAAUGAAGAGAUGUGUGGUGAGCCAUGUUGUGAAAGUAAUGAGGAUCAAGGCUGCCCCAGGGAGAAGGCCAAGGCGUCCUGCCCUACACACUGAUCUAUAUCAUCCUCGGGGAAGCAUAGGACGUCCUGACUUAAUCUGACCUCAUUCUUAUCUAAAGUUAUCGGACCACCCAAUAACCACACCCCACCUGCACUGAUACCAUUUUAACGAUUUUUUUCAUGAUCCUUCCUUUGUCUUGUAAAGAAAUAACUCACAUACCUAUGCCUUAUAAAUUUAGCCCUAACCCUCAACACACUGCAGCCCUUCACUGCCCGUGGGUCCUGUCCCCAUGCUACUCCAUGCUAUUCUCUGAAUAAAGGAGCGCUACUGCCAGACCUUGAGAGUCCAAGAAAUCUUCCUUCCGACUCCUCAGCUUGCCGAGCCCGCAUCAUUAGGACAACAGUACUAGAUGAAUGAGGCCAGAUCCCACUUAUGCUUUUAGGAUUUUUAUAAUUUAUAAAUUCUAUUCACUUCUAUGAAUCCCCAGGCCUGCUCUCCAAGGCUACUCAGCCCCACUCUGCUAGCUGCCUUCCCUGAUAAGAAAUGCUGGAUUUCUAAAUAAUGUGCUCAUAGUGCUGCUUCUCAGUUUGUCUUUAGGGACUUAGUUUUCUCUCGGUAUCAGUCAGUGUUCAGUUCAGGAAGCUGCAAUCGUUCUAGGGGUUGAGGGCAGGGAGUCAGGUGAUUACCAAAGUGUGAGCGGGGGGUGGGGCAGGCAACAGUAGAGUGGGAGGCAAAGGCCAUCACAGGACUAUUGGAUUCAAUGGCAUACCCGGAGAGCGUGGGACACACCCAUGGAGUCCAGAAUAGACCCUGGAAUGUGAAGCAGGGAAUUCCUGAGGAACACUUUUCAGAGACGAAUCGACUCACUGCGGUUGCACCUUAUCCAUUGACCAGUGAAUCAGAGGCAGAAAUGAGCAAAAAUGGGUGUCCUCUGAAAGAAGUGUGGAAGCAUAAAAGAAAUCAUAACUAAAUUGGAGUCGAGAAGGCCUGUAGGGGGAGGUCUCAUGCCCUACCACAUAUGGUCAAUUACACCAAACAGGAAGAAACCCAGGGCUUGCAUCUUGGACAGGAAGUAAAACUAUUUUACUAUUGAAUGAAGACUUCUCUCCCCACCUGGCAACAGCCCAGCCAAAGAGGAACACAGCAGCUCAGCCAAUGAGAAGCCAUUGCUGCUGAGAACUGUUACUUUCCCCCAAUGGACUUUCUUUUAGAAGCCCCCUCCCUACGCUCCUUUUUCUCUCUAAAGGCAGCUUGCCUUCCUUGUUUGUUGGAUUUGCCUAUGGUUUGCCAUAGCAUGCACAUCCCAAAUUGCAAUUCUUUUGGCUAUUCCUGAGGAAAUUCGGUUUGAGGCUUUUCAAGUCAACGGAAGCAACUGAGACGGCAAUUUCUCGUGAUUUUACAACCCCCAUAUAUCAGUUCCUCAUGAGGCCAAUUACAUGAGGUUGUGGGUUUGGUGCAGUAAUCCUGGAUCCUUAUAUUAAGUUGCACUUCUCUACUUACACAGAUUUGAGUGGCUUUUUGUUCAUCACAACAGAAGGAGCGUUGGCUAAACCAGGAGACAAUGGAUCUGGGCUCUAAUUUUAUAUAAGAGGAUAUUUGUUGAGGAAUUCUGUUUAACAGUGGGGAACUGGGAGCAGUUUAAACGCACCAAACAGGCAAAGGUUCAGUAAGUGAUGGUGCGGUCAUACACUGGAAUGGCAUCAGCCAUUAAAAAGCCUAUUUUCAGAGACAUUAAAGAUUGGGAAAAUGUACAUGACAUUCUUUAGGACGAAGGAGUCUUGUGCUUAGUCAUCUCUUCCUCUGAGGUUGUAAUUUCUAUUAUGUCUCACUUCUUGCCAUUUCCCUUGAUUUGCUUGAAACACAAUUCAUAGGCACUCACAUAGAUGAGACGUCAUCAAACAUGCAGGGGUAUAAUGGCAAGGGGUUUGCAUCACAGGCUAGUGGGACACAUCAUGGCAACAAUGUAAAACUGCAUGUUAGACAGUCUUGUUCUUGUCCCUCAGGAAUUCCCAACACUGGGAACUUCUCAAUGGCAUUGCUCUCCCAGGUCCUAGCCUUUCUGAUCUUGAUGGAACCUUUCUCUUUCUCACCAGUCUUUGCUUACUCCUGCUCCUGGCUCCUUCAGUCUUCUCUUAGGCUCCUACAUUGUCCAUGGAAUUUCAAAAUCCUUUGACUUAUUGCAAAGCAAUCUAAUUUUGUCAUUCUUCUGCUUUCCAUACUAUGUCCUGGGACCUAUCAC